Molecule: ribosomal RNA, 509 nt
Filed under: uncultured bacterium
Lineage: Bacteria
Description: partial 16S ribosomal RNA
Rfam family: Bacterial small subunit ribosomal RNA
Source: RNAcentral
AACGAACGCUGGCUGCGUGCCUAACACAUGCAAGUCGAGCGCGAAAGGGGCAACCUGAGUAGAGCGGCGCACGGGUGCGUAACACGUGGGUAAUCUGCCCCAGAGACUUGGAUAACCAUCCGAAAGGAUGGCUAAUACGGGAUAAGCCCACGGCCUCUUUGGAGGUUGGGGGAAAAGGUGUCCUCUGUUUACAUGCUACCACUCUGGGAUGAGCCCGCGGCCCAUCAGCUAGUUGGCGGGGUAAUGGCCCACCAAGGCAACGACUGGUAGCUGGUCUGAGAGGACGAUCAGUCACACGGGCGCUGAGUCACGGCCCCGACUCAGACGGGAGGCAGCAGUAAGGAAGAUUGGUCAAUGGACGCAAGUCUGAACCAGCCAUGCCGCGUGGAGGAUGAAGGUCCUCUGGAUUGUAAACUUCUUUUAUUUGGGAAGAAAUCCACUUUUUCUAAGGUGGUUGACGGUACCAGAUGAAUAAGCACUGGCUAACUCCGUGCUAGCAGCCGCCGUAA